This 460-nucleotide ribosomal RNA is filed under the name uncultured bacterium. RNAcentral describes it as "partial 16S ribosomal RNA". It matches the Rfam family "Bacterial small subunit ribosomal RNA", at positions 338 to 795 of the family's 1533-position model. The record is from RNAcentral.
CCUACGGGUCGCAGCAGUGAGGAAUAUUGGUCAAUGGACGAGAGUCUGAACCAGCCAAGUAGCGUGAAGGAUGACUGCCCUAUGGGUUGUAAACUUCUUUUAUAUGGGAAUAAAAUGUUCCACGUGUGGGAUUUUGUAUGUACCAUAUGAAUAAGGAUCGGCUAACUCCGUGCCAGCAGCCGCGGUAAUACGGAGGAUCCGAGCGUUAUCCGGAUUUAUUGGGUUUAAAGGGAGCGUAGGUGGAUUGUUAAGUCAGUUGUGAAAGUUUGCGGCUCAACCGUAAAAUUGCAGUUGAAACUGGCAGUCUUGAGUACAGUAGAGGUGUGCGGAAUUCGUGGUGUAGCGGUGAAAUGCUUAGAUAUCACGAAGAACUCCGAUUGCGAAGGCAGUUCACUGGACUGCAACUGACACUGAGGCUCGAAAGUGUGGGUAUCAAACAGGAUUAGAUACCCUUGUAGUC